UGGGGAAUAUUGCACAAUGGGCGCAAGCCUGAUGCAGCGACGCCGCGUGCGGGAUGGAGGCCUUCGGGUUGUAAACCGCUUUUGUUCAUGGGCAAGGCAGGCUUUCGGGCCUGUUGAGUGGAUUGUUCGAAUAAGCACCGGCUAACUACGUGCC
This 154-nucleotide ribosomal RNA is filed under the name uncultured bacterium. RNAcentral's name for it is "partial 16S ribosomal RNA". It matches the Rfam family "Bacterial small subunit ribosomal RNA", at positions 355 to 509 of the family's 1533-position model. The record is from RNAcentral.